CCUACGGGAGGCAGCAGUGGGGAAUAUUGGGCAAUGGGCGCAAGCCUGACCCAGCACCGCCGCGUGAAGGAAGAAGGCUUUCGGGUUGUAAACUUCUUUUCUCAGGGACGAAGCAAGUGACGGUACCUGAGGAAUAAGCCACGGCUAACUACGUGCCAGCAGCCGCGGUACUACGUAGGUGGCAAGCGUUAUCCGGAUUUACUGGUGGUAAAGGGCGUGUAGGCGGGGACGCAAGGCAGAUGUGAAAACCACGGGGUCAACCUGUGGCCUGCAUUUGAAACGGUGUUUCUUGAGGACUGGAGAGGCAGACGGAAGUCCUAGUGUAGCGGUGAAAUGCGUAGAGAUUAGGAGGAACACCAGUGGCGAAGGCGGUCUGCUGGACAGCAACUGACGCUGAGGCGCGAAAGCGUGGGGAGCAAACAGGAUUAGAUACCCCGGUAGUC
This 443-nucleotide ribosomal RNA is filed under the name uncultured bacterium. Its description in RNAcentral is "partial 16S ribosomal RNA". It matches the Rfam family "Bacterial small subunit ribosomal RNA", at positions 338 to 795 of the family's 1533-position model. The record is from RNAcentral.